This is a non-coding RNA of Brachypodium distachyon (stiff brome), 134 nucleotides long. Lineage: Eukaryota; Viridiplantae; Streptophyta; Magnoliopsida; Poales; Poaceae. The record is from Rfam.
GUAUUACUCUUUCCGUCCGGUAUUAAGUGUCACACUUUUAUCUAAAUACAGAUGUAUCUAUACGCGUUUUAGUUGUAGGUACAUGCAUAUUAGACGAAGUUGCGACACUUAAUACCGGACGGAGGGAGUAGUUU